RNAcentral lists this ribosomal RNA (230 nucleotides) under uncultured bacterium. Its description in RNAcentral is "partial 16S ribosomal RNA". It matches the Rfam family "Archaeal small subunit ribosomal RNA", at positions 518 to 747 of the family's 1478-position model. The record is from RNAcentral.
UCCGUAGCUGGACUGAUAAGUCUCUUGGGAAAUCCGCCGGCUUAACCGGCGGGCGUCCAGGAGAUACUGUUGGUCUAGGGACCGGGAGAGGUGAGAGGUACUCCGGGGGUAGGAGUGAAAUCCUGUAAUCCCUGGGGGACCACCGAUGGCGAAGGUAUCUCACCAGAACGGCUCCGACAGUGAGGGACGAAAGCUGGGGGAGCGAACAGGAUUAGAUACCCUGGUAGUCC